AUUGAACGCUGGCGGCAUGCCUUACACAUGCAAGUCGAACGGCAGCACGGGAGCUUGCUCCUGGUGGCGAGUGGCGAACGGGUGAGUAACACAUCGGAACGUACCCUGAAGUGGGGGAUAACGUAGCGAAAGUUACGCUAAUACCGCAUAUUCUGUGAGCAGGAAAGCAGGGGAUCGCAAGACCUUGCGCUCUGGGAGCGGCCGAUGUCGGAUUAGCUAGUUGGUGGGGUAAAGGCCUACCAAGGCGACGAUCCGUAGCGGGUCUGAGAGGAUGAUCCGCCACACUGGGACUGAGACACGGCCCAGACUCCUACGGGAGGCAGCAGUGGGGAAUUUUGGACAAUGGGCGAAAGCCUGAUCCAGCCAUGCCGCGUGAGUGAAGAAGGCCUC
RNAcentral lists this ribosomal RNA (390 nucleotides) under uncultured bacterium. Its description in RNAcentral is "bacterial SSU rRNA". It matches the Rfam family "Bacterial small subunit ribosomal RNA", at positions 30 to 418 of the family's 1533-position model. The record is from RNAcentral.